CUACGGGGCGCUCCAGUGGGGAAUAUUGCACAAUGAGCGAAAGCUUGAUGCAGCCAUACCGCGUGUGUGAAGAAGGCCCGAGGGUUGUAAAGCACUUUCAAUUGUGAGGAAGGUUCAGUAGUUAAUACCUGCUGUUCUUGACGUUAACUUUAGAAGAAGCACCGGCUAACUCUGUGCCAGCAGCCGCGGUAAUACAGAGGGUGCAAGCGUUAUUCGGAAUUACUGGGCGUAAAGCGCGCGUAGGCGGACUAUUAAGUCAGUUGUGAAAGCCCUGGGCUCAACCUGGGAACUGCAUCUGAUACUGGUAGUCUAGAGUUUAAGAGAGGGAAGUGGAAUUCCAGGUGUAGCAGUGACGUGCGUAGAUAUCUGGAGGAACAUCAGUGGCGAAGGCGACUUCCUGGCUUAAAACUGACGCUGAGGUGCGAAAGCGUGGGUAGCGAACGGGAUUAGAUACCCCGGUAGUC
This 464-nucleotide ribosomal RNA is filed under the name uncultured bacterium. Its description in RNAcentral is "partial 16S ribosomal RNA". It matches the Rfam family "Bacterial small subunit ribosomal RNA", at positions 339 to 795 of the family's 1533-position model. The record is from RNAcentral.